RNAcentral lists this ribosomal RNA (499 nucleotides) under uncultured bacterium. RNAcentral describes it as "partial 16S ribosomal RNA". It matches the Rfam family "Bacterial small subunit ribosomal RNA", at positions 30 to 523 of the family's 1533-position model. The record is from RNAcentral.
AUUGAACGCUGGCGGCAUGCCUUACACAUGCAAGUCGAACGGCAGCACGGGAGCAAUCCUGGUGGCGAGUGGCGAACGGGUGAGUAAUAUAUCGGAACGUGCCCAGUCGUGGGGGAUAACGCAGCGAAAGCUGUGCUAAUACCGCAUACGAUCUACGGAUGAAAGCGGGGAUCGCAAGACCUCGCGCGAUUGGAGCGGCCGAUAUCAGAUUAGCUAGUUGGUGGGGUAAAGGCCCACCAAGGCGACGAUCUGUAGCUGGUCUGAGAGGACGACCAGCCACACUGGAACUGAGACACGGUCCAGACUCCUACGGGAGGCAGCAGUGGGGAAUUUUGGACAAUGGGUGCAAGCCUGAUCCAGCAAUGCCGCGUGCAGGAUGAAGGCCUUCGGGUUGUAAACUGCUUUUGUACGGAACGAAACGGCCCUUUCUAAUACAGGGGGCUAAUGACGGUACCGUAAGAAUAAGCACCGGCUAACUACGUGCCAGCCGCCGCCGUAA